CCUACGGGUGGCUGCAGUGAGGAAUAUUGGUCAAUGGGCGGAAGCCUGAACCAGCCAUGCCGCGUGAAGGAUGAAGGUUCUAUGGAUUGUAAACUUCUUUUAUUUGGGAAUAAACCCUCCGACGUGUUGGAGGCUGAAGGUACCAAAUGAAUAAGCACCGGCUAACUCCGUGCCAGCAGCCGCGGUAAUACGGAGGGUGCAAGCGUUAUCCGGAAUCAUUGGGUUUAAAGGGUCCGCAGGCGGAUUUAUAAGUCAGUGGUGAAAGCCUACAGCUC
RNAcentral lists this ribosomal RNA (275 nucleotides) under uncultured bacterium. Its description in RNAcentral is "partial 16S ribosomal RNA". It matches the Rfam family "Bacterial small subunit ribosomal RNA", at positions 338 to 610 of the family's 1533-position model. The record is from RNAcentral.